CAUAUGCUUGUCUCAAAGAUU
Molecule: non-coding RNA, 21 nt
Filed under: Arabidopsis thaliana (thale cress)
Lineage: Eukaryota; Viridiplantae; Streptophyta; Magnoliopsida; Brassicales; Brassicaceae
Source: RNAcentral